UACGUAGGGUGCAAGCGUUAAUCGGAAUUACUGGGCGUAAAGAGCUCGUAGGCGGUUUGGUAAGUCACGUGUGAAAUCUCCACGCUCAACGUGGAGGGGCCACGUGAGACUGCUAUGACUAGAGUCCGGUAGAGGAGUGUGGAAUUCCCGGUGUAGCGGUGAAAUGCGCAGAGAUCGGGAGGAACACCCGUAGCGAAGGCGGCACUCUGGGCCGGUACUGACGCUGAGGAGCGAAAGCGUGGGGAGCAAACAGGAUUAGAAACCCCGGUAGU
This 272-nucleotide ribosomal RNA is filed under the name uncultured bacterium. Its description in RNAcentral is "partial 16S ribosomal RNA". It matches the Rfam family "Bacterial small subunit ribosomal RNA", at positions 524 to 794 of the family's 1533-position model. The record is from RNAcentral.